AGCAGCCGCGGUAAUUCCAGCUCCAAUAGCGUAUAUUAAAGUUGUUGCAGUUAAAAAGCUCGUAGUUGAAUUUCGGGAUCAAUACGUCGGUCGUGCCUCGGUACGUACUGGCGUAAUUGAUUUCUCCCUUCUGACGAACCAUGAUGUCAUUAACUUGGUGUCAUGGGAAAUCAGGACAUGUUACUUUGAAAAAAAUUAGAGUGUUUAAAGCAAGCUAACGCUUGAAUACAUUAGCAUGGAAUAAUGAAAUAGGACGUUCGAUCCCAUUUUGUUGGUUUCUAGGAUUGACGUAAUGAUUAAUAGGGAUAGUUGGGGGGCAUUAGUAUUCAAUUGUCAGAGGUGAAAUUCUUGGAUUUAUUGAAGACUAACUACUGCGAAAGCAUUUUGCCAAGGAUGUUUUUCAUUAAUCAAGAACGAAAGUUAGGGGAUCGAAGACGAUCAGAUACCGUCGUAGUCUUAACCAUAAACUAUGCCGACUAGGGAUCGGAUGAUGUUAAUUUUUUUAAUGACUCAUUCGGCG
RNAcentral lists this ribosomal RNA (520 nucleotides) under uncultured Glomus. RNAcentral describes it as "SSU rRNA". It matches the Rfam family "Eukaryotic small subunit ribosomal RNA", at positions 569 to 1085 of the family's 1831-position model. Lineage: Eukaryota; Fungi; Glomeromycota; Glomeromycetes; Glomerales; Glomeraceae. The record is from RNAcentral.